This 1432-nucleotide ribosomal RNA is filed under the name bacterium. Its description in RNAcentral is "bacterial SSU rRNA". It matches the Rfam family "Bacterial small subunit ribosomal RNA". The record is from RNAcentral.
CUAAUACAUGCAGUCGAGCGAACAGAUGAGAAGCUUGCUUCUCUGAUGUUAGCGGCGGACGGGUGAGUAACACGUGGGUAACCUACCUAUAAGACUGGGAUAACUCCGGGAAACCGGGGCUAAUACCGGAUAAUAUUUUGAACCGCAUGGUUCAAUAGUGAAAGACGGUUUCGGCUGUCACUUAUAGAUGGACCCGCGCCGUAUUAGCUAGUUGGUAAGGUAAUGGCUUACCAAGGCGACGAUACGUAGCCGACCUGAGAGGGUGAUCGGCCACACUGGAACUGAGACACGGUCCAGACUCCUACGGGAGGCAGCAGUAGGGAAUCUUCCGCAAUGGGCGAAAGCCUGACGGAGCAACGCCGCGUGAGUGAUGAAGGUCUUCGGAUCGUAAAACUCUGUUGUUAGGGAAGAACAAAUUUGUUAGUAACUGAACAAGUCUUGACGGUACCUAACCAGAAAGCCACGGCUAACUACGUGCCAGCAGCCGCGGUAAUACGUAGGUGGCAAGCGUUAUCCGGAAUUAUUGGGCGUAAAGCGCGCGUAGGCGGUUUCUUAAGUCUGAUGUGAAAGCCCACGGCUCAACCGUGGAGGGUCAUUGGAAACUGGGAAACUUGAGUGCAGAAGAGGAGAGUGGAAUUCCAUGUGUAGCGGUGAAAUGCGCAGAGAUAUGGAGGAACACCAGUGGCGAAGGCGGCUCUCUGGUCUGUAACUGACGCUGAUGUGCGAAAGCGUGGGGAUCAAACAGGAUUAGAUACCCUGGUAGUCCACGCCGUAAACGAUGAGUGCUAAGUGUUAGGGGGUUUCCGCCCCUUAGUGCUGCAGCUAACGCAUUAAGCACUCCGCCUGGGGAGUACGACCGCAAGGUUGAAACUCAAAGGAAUUGACGGGGACCCGCACAAGCGGUGGAGCAUGUGGUUUAAUUCGAAGCAACGCGAAGAACCUUACCAAAUCUUGACAUCCUUUGACCGCUCUAGAGAUAGAGUCUUCCCCUUCGGGGGACAAAGUGACAGGUGGUGCAUGGUUGUCGUCAGCUCGUGUCGUGAGAUGUUGGGUUAAGUCCCGCAACGAGCGCAACCCUUAAGCUUAGUUGCCAUCAUUAAGUUGGGCACUCUAGGUUGACUGCCGGUGACAAACCGGAGGAAGGUGGGGAUGACGUCAAAUCAUCAUGCCCCUUAUGAUUUGGGCUACACACGUGCUACAAUGGAUAAUACAAAGGGCAGCGAAUCCGCGAGGCCAAGCAAAUCCCAUAAAAUUAUUCUCAGUUCGGAUUGUAGUCUGCAACUCGACUACAUGAAGCUGGAAUCGCUAGUAAUCGUAGAUCAGCAUGCUACGGUGAAUACGUUCCCGGGUCUUGUACACACCGCCCGUCACACCACGAGAGUUUGUAACACCCGAAGCCGGUGGAGUAACCUUUUAGGAGCUAGCCGUCGAA